UAUGGCCGGAGCAGGGGUUCGUGCAGCAAAUCUGCAGCGUUUCCUUGAUGCCGGGGUACGGGAAGUACACAGCUCAGCCGGAACGACACAGCCCUCGCCGAUGCGUUAUCGCAACCCAGGGUUGUCAAUGUCAGCCGAUAAGCAGGCGGACGAAUACUCCCGCUAUGUGGUUGACGGCGCCGCGGUUGCUGAAAUGAAAGGAAUCAUUGCUCGCCAUCAGGCCAAAUGAUUUUUACCGUUGCAUCAUGUCGCCCAAUAUGAUGCUUGCUCGUACCAGGCCCCUGCCAUUAACAGGGGCCUUUUUU
This 305-nucleotide non-coding RNA is filed under the name Citrobacter sedlakii. RNAcentral describes it as "MicL sRNA". It matches the Rfam family "MicL sRNA". Rfam says of the family: mRNA-interfering complementary RNA regulator of Lpp. Transcription factor sigma E dependant sRNA. Together with MicA and RybB it allows sigma E to repress the synthesis of all abundant outer membrane proteins in response to stress. Lineage: Bacteria; Pseudomonadati; Pseudomonadota; Gammaproteobacteria; Enterobacterales; Enterobacteriaceae. The record is from RNAcentral.